GACCCAGAUCCGCCCCAAUACUCCAGGUUAUGUCCUGUCUCAUGGACUACUACAGAAGCACUAAAACCGUCGCACACAAAGGCACCACGGGACUCCCACCAUCACCAGAGCUCUCCGCCUGCCUCUGGCGCUAGCUGUCAGAACCGCUUCAGCUGAAAUCAAGUUCUUUAGAUUUAUGCAGUAGCCAUGUUUGUCAAAGUAUUUGGCUCUGGUGACAUCAUCUUUGUUGAAACGCCGGACAGCAUGAUGAGUCCCAGAUGUUAAUGCACACUGAGAGUCGAGAAAGAAUAAAAUCCAAAGAUCAACACUAACAGCUCUGGAGGAGUGCACUCACUUUGCACUCUGGGGUUGAUGGAUGAAUACGUGAUUUUUUCCAAGGCAUCCUAAAGCUGUUAAACCUUACAGUCUGUUUUCUUUCUGCCUGGCUUGUAAACUUUCGGCUCGGUGAAAGAAGUUGUGAGUUAUUUUCCUCUGGCAAAUGAAGCUCCAGGCAUGGAUCCCUUGCUGCUGACACAGUGCAAAGGAUAAAAAAGCCAUUUAAAAGACGGGUAAGAACAAACAACGUGAUUAAAGGGAGCUGCCAAAAGCUGUACAAGUGUCAGCUGCCACCACUGCUCGUUACAUGGAUGAAGCUGUUGACUUUUAAUUUAUAGACAUUUGAGAAGGUGUACGUGAAGACUUGAAAAGAAGGCUUUCUUUUGCUAAAAGAAAAAAGAGAACUGUUAUUAAGAACCUCUGCUGAAAUACACUGAAUUACUUCUGCUGGUCUGUGCUAUUUGCCAAUGAGAUCUUUCUGGUUGUGUCAGAAGAUGUUCAGUCUGUCGUUCAGAUCCUCAAGCAGUGAAAUGGAGGAGAUAGUAUUUGACCAUCUGGCACUGUCUUCUUGGGCUUUACUGACUGCAAAAACAGAAGAUGUUCUGCUGAGUGAUGGCUGGUUUUUGUCCUGUCAUGUCCUGAGUUUCCACAUCCCCCUGCUCGAAGAAAUGCCAGUUCUUCCAACCACUUCUUUUUUCCUGGAUACCUGUCAACUGUUCACAUUCAGAGACCUUGGAAGGGUAACCAACUUUGAAGAUUUUGUAGACGGCUUUUUGCCCGAAUGGGAAACUGCUGAGUUUCAUCUCAUCCCUGUAGUGGUUAAUUCCAGGACACUGGGAAAGACCCCGAGCUCUAAACGUUGGAUUAAGAUCUUCACUUCAGCAGCUGAGACAAUCACACUCAGGAAACUGGGAAAAAGAGUCCUGAGGGCAGAAAGAAAGGAGAUCUACCUGGUGGUGGCAGAACAAAAAGAUUACACAACCUUGCAAGAAGAAUGUUAUUUAAGAGAAUCCUCAAAGGCCGCUCUAAGGAUUGCUGCUGAGAAUAAAGCACCUGAGAUGGAUAAUGUUCUUACAACAAAAGAGUUUAAAAUAAAAGGUUCAGUCUUGCAAGAUGUGAAUAUAAGAAGCUAUCUUCAACUGAAAAGUCUAUAGAAGAGAUUUUGGAACAAACAGAAGAUCAACAGGAUCUAAUUGUGAGGAGCGGACGAUACUUCUCCAGAUGGAACUGAAAUGUGAAAUUACAGAAUUUUAACUUCGGUACCAGGUGCAAAGAGUGAGUAAUGUGGUGAUCAGAAGGAAGGCUGACUGUCUGAAAAGAAGCUGGACCCAGUAAAACCGGUUGAGAAGGGACACAAUUGCUGUCUAUAAAUUUAUGAUGAGGUGACUACUUCAUCAACUUGGCUUUUCACUGGCAUAGAAGAACCAGAAAAUGAACCUGGCACUAGAAGCCUGUGUUUCUUCUGCAGCUGGGAAAGCGGUGGGCCUCUCCAGAGCAAGAUUCACCAAAGCAUAUACAAGACUCUCGAUGCUGGAUGUGAAGGCAGAGAAACAAUUUACUGUUUUAAAACAAAGAGCCUGUUCCUCAGGAGACAUAGACUGAUUCAUGUGAAGGCACACCCCAGUUUCCUUGACUGCAAUGCAAUCCAAAUGCAGGCUUCAAGACCCAAUGGUCAGAGUAUUGGGUCAAGCUGAGAACUUGUGGGUUGUUGUCCUGGGCUCAGCUGCUCAUCUUGCCUCAACCUCUUCAGCAAAAAAUAAGUGGUAUCUCAAGAUGAAUGGCAGGAUAAUACCCAUUUGAAAUAUAAGUGGACAGCAGCAUCAGAUCAAAUGGAUGGUGAAAAGAGACUGAAUGGAAAAUGAUGACAGGGCAAAAAUGUCCCUUCCUACCAACAUCUUCAAUGUUUUCAUUUCCAAGCAUUUGUUAAGCAAGGAAGAGGAUCUCUCUCUAUUUAAUGUAAUUUAGUGAUAAUUCUUUGGAAAAGAGAAAAUAUCCUUUCACAGCUGUAUCAACAAUAUCUUCUCUCUUAAAAGAAAACAGCAGCUGACUUGACAUGUCAAGCAUCACGUAUUUGGCCACGGAAGGCAAGCAUGAGCCAGACUGGUCAAUAGCACUGACUUGGAACAAUGCCACUGAAAAGUUGGUCUGUAAACUGAUGCUACCUUAUUUCUUGGAUUGUAGAAGGGCUUGCUGAGAUUUAGCAGCAAUGCAGAACUACCACAUUCCCGGUAGAUAUUUCUUUUCUUGUUACAUGAGACCCAUGCAUGAAGUGAAAAAGAACAAAUGAACAUCAGGUUUACAUCACCACUGAUAUGUGAAUGAUUGAUCACCCAUUAAAUCACAUACAGAGCUGGUAACAGCACACGGGGUAGCGUUAAAGUAAAAUGUUUGAUAUUCUUUACUCUAAUUAAACAUGGAAAUAAUACGAUGCAGUCUGUAUUGUAAAUGUUAUUGCAGAUUAUAGACCUAAAGGAGAGGUGUUAUGCCACCUUUAUAGCCUCCAGUUCCUGGAGACUGUGACUUAGAGCUGCCUCAGGGCUGCCCUAAAUUACACCAGUUGGUAAUGACUCCCAGAGGGCCGCUAUGCAUCCAGUGGUUGCUGGAGUGUAAAGUACUUUGGCUAUGCCAACAGCCCAUCAUUUCACAAUGGAGGCUGAGAGCAGCUGGCAUAGUGCUUGGAGAAAAUCCCCAAGUAGUGGUUUAAGACAUUUUUCGAACUCUUUUUUUUUUGUCAUGAGAGUGAUAUAAAAUAAAGGCCAGAUUUCACAAACACACAGGGGCUUUUCCUUUAUUAUUUAAGCAUCUGUAGUCGUGAGUUGAUAAACUGAGAGAUGAGGGUUUCUAUAGGAUUUCAGAGCAGGUAUCAACCCAAUACUGCUUCAGCUUGGCAGCAUUCCAGCUCUUUGCCCUGGCCCCUAUUCCCUGCGUGGUGCAGUGGAGCACCACUGGCUGUCAAAGGCAUACUCCUGGUUUACAUCUCUGUUAGCAAAAGGAGAACUGGAUUCCCCCUUGUAAGUGCCAGAUUUUCAAUUCAGGAUCAUAUUCCAUUCUUCGAUGGAGCUGCCAAAGAUAAAACUUGACUUUCCACAUGUAAAAUGUUUUUGUAAAUGUAUGUGUGACUCAUUCAAUAGCUCAGCCCAUCCUCACUCAGUGAGUGAUGAUUUUUCUGUCCAGUGUGUGGGUGGGCUGACCAUUCUUACGCAAAUCUCAAAUAUAAAAAGUUUUCUUGGACAUUAGGGAAUAAUAUUGGCAGUUUGGGGAUUUUGUUUUGAUGUGAUGCUCACUUAAAGCAUCCUGAAGAUAAUAGCUGACUGCUAGCAGCAGAAACUCACAACUCACAAACUGAGAUGAUGCAGCCCAAAAUUCAGAUGGCUGUGUUUUCAAAUCUCUGAGAUAACAAGCCACUGCUGUUGAUCUUACUAUAAGUUCUAUGAAACAUAAUCAAAAAUAAAGUAAGGGACAGAGAUAUCACAGGUAGGAAAUCCUUUGGGCAGUCACAGGUAGGUGUUGUUCUCAGAUAAAUUUACUAGAGAAAAGUAAGUAUCUUUUCUGUUCUAAAGAGAGUUAUUUUAAAGAGUCACUGAGCUCCAAUAUCACUGAGGAGGAGAAUGAUUUCACGGAGAAAUUUUUCUGGAUGUGAAUUCAUAAAGGACUCACUCUCACAUUGUGUGGAGAAAGAUGAGUGUUAAGACAGAGGGCUGAGCUGUAACCUUCCUAAUGGGAAGAAAAAACUAGAAUUCCCUUCUCUUUCGCAGAGUUCUCUGAGCUAGUCCUGGCUAGCAGACCUGUGUAGGGCAGCAAAAAGACAAAAGAAGGACUGAUUAAAGAAGCUAACAUGGCAUCUUGUCUGCUCCCUGACUGUGCAUCCUUCUGUACACGUGGAAGAGAGAUGGUCUGGCAUUUCUGUCUCUCCCUGCAAGGAUCAAAUGGUGGUGAGAAAACUUCCUUGGUGCUUUGUACCUAUCUGCUGACAGAUGGACACACAAAGAGUUCCCAAAAAAAGGUGAGGAACGUGGAUCAUCAAAUGGUAGUAUAAAACAUAAUAAAAUGGUCAGAAAAAGACAUUAUCUGGCCCAUCGUUCUGCCUGAAGGCAGGAUUGACUUCAGCUACGUACAUUCUGAUAGCCAUCUGUCACUCUAUUUUUUGAAUUAUUAAAUGAUUUUUAGUAGUUAUAACACCUGUUAUUAUCCUCUAAGCAAUCCAUUCCAGUGAUUAGCUAUUAUUUCUGCACCCUGGAAUAACAUUGUUAACCUAGAACUAACAUGAGCCAAAUACUGGAGGUAUACGUGUUAUACUCACUUCUUUCACUAGAUCCUUUCUGGAGUUUGGAAAGAAGCCUAAUUAAAAUUAGAUGACUUGCACCCCCCCAUAUCAAAGGAUCUGGGCCAUGAUUUCUGUUGAUUUAAUGGUUUAAAAUUGACAAAAUUCCUUGGAUGGAGAAGGAUUUAUUUUGUAUUUCUACUGGAGCUGGAAUACAAUACCUGAGGACAGGAAAGUGUUUUGUUAAAAAAUAAAAGCAACUGAUUUUGUCUUCUGUGUGCUUUUAAAAUUUGUUCUGAAGGCAGAAAGGGAUGGAUAACUAUGUAAUUAAAGAGAGCUAAAGGAGGGACAGUAAUGAACAAAUACCAUUAUUUUUGCCAUAGUUCUUAAGGAAGCUAAGGUAGAGGUGCAGAAAAUCUGUUACAGUGAUGCACUUUACUUAGCAUGGGAGUUCAUGCAGUGCAAAGAGCUUGAUGUGUGCAGCUGAGCUGGGCCUAAUGGGCAUCAGUUGUUAUCUGUGGAAAUGGAGUCUGUUAGAAGGAGGCUGGCUACUAUACCCGUCUGAGAUGGCUAGUGGGAUUUUCAACAUACUAGUGACCUUUUCUUACUCAUUUUGCUGAAUUUUUAUCCAAUAAAAGCCAUCAUGUGCCCCAUAUACCCAAGUCUGUAUUGUGCAUUAUGAGUCCGUUGGUGAGGGUGUUGUGAGAAGCAGAUGGAGAGGAGUAGAAGACUGUAGAGAUGGAACAGGGGUUGGGGAACAAGGGGAGCUGCUGAAAGCCAUAUACACUCAAGCACUCUCACAUUUACAUAUAUUCUUUUAAGUAUGCUUUUAUACAUACAUGUAUAUGCAUGUAUAUACAAAGUGCAUUCUACACAGCAUUUCUCUCCCAGAAAUGCAGAAACUGCUGUGAAUCUGCCAACAGGCUUUGCAUACUUAUGCUAGGAAAAUUCUUAAGGAAAACGAUUAUAUACCUGUUGUAAAUUGAUCCAGUUUGAUAAGAAUUUUGCUAAUUAAUUAUGUGCCUUAUAAAGCUCCUGGCACAUGAGGAAGUUACAGACAAUUAUGAGUAACUAAGUACAGAAGUUUAAAUAGCAAAAAACUUGUUACCUGUUAAUGCUGUUCCCUGUCCAUUUUGAUGGGCGCAUACUGGUUAUGGUCACUCUCCAAUCCUGUAUUAAAUAAACAUAAGUUUAACAGAAAUGUUGCCGACUUUGUUUUCAUUGUGCAGCAAAUUAUUGCCAUGCAAGGUUUAACUAUGGCUAGUGAAAGUCACAAAGACCAAGUGGUAUUGUUCCAUAGGGCUGCUACAGCAGUUUAGUAACGUAAUAGCUCUGAUUUUCAGAAUCCUGACAAGUUACUAUGGCUUUGAUCAAACAUGAAAGGAAGUACAGUUUUGUUCCAGACCAUUUAGAACAAAAGCUUUGUUUACUUUUUUUCCCUAUUUUUUUUGAAAAUGUGUGGGUUUCUCAUCAAAUAAGAUCAGCUUCAGUCUUAGGUCAACAUGACAUUUAGCAUGCGUGUCUUUGUGCAAAGGUGGACUACUUUUUCAGUGAAAAUCAGCUCAGUUUUUAGAAGAAAGUGGGUUCUAGAGGUUGAAGGUUUACCGACAAAACUCCAACCAAUUGCAAUUUUAAUAACAUGUAAACAAGUGGAUUAUCUACGGUGGGCUGAAUGCUGACAGGUGAGCAACAGUGCUGGAUGCUUCCAGGAUGCAAACAUAAUCUUGAGAGACAGAGAGACCUUCCUCAGAAGCACGAGUACACAGGAUUCAUUGGGUAGGUUGCUUCCUCCCAUAGGAAAGUCUAUGUUGUAAAUGCUUAGUCCAGUUUCUAAGGUCUCUGAUAGGCUUUUAUAUCUGGAUCUGAUCCACAAAUAGACCUGGCUCCUCUUCAAGCUAGUGAGCCUAGUGAGGUUGGGAAUCUGACCUUGCCCUUUUAUAGCUAGUGGAGUUUGCGUGUAUCUCUCCUCACACCAGUGUUUACAGUUGACAUUGAUGAAGUUUCAGUAUUGGCCCAUAAUAGCGGG
RNAcentral lists this long non-coding RNA (6602 nucleotides) under Gallus gallus (chicken). RNAcentral's name for it is "lncRNA (ENSGALG00010018851.1)". The record is from RNAcentral. Lineage: Eukaryota; Metazoa; Chordata; Aves; Galliformes; Phasianidae.